Molecule: ribosomal RNA, 405 nt
Filed under: uncultured bacterium
Lineage: Bacteria
Description: partial 16S ribosomal RNA
Rfam family: Bacterial small subunit ribosomal RNA
Source: RNAcentral
AUUGAACGCUGGCGGCAGGCUUAACACAUGCAAGUCGAACGAGUGGCGGACGGGUGAGUAAUGCUUGGGAAUCUUGCUUAUGGCGGGGUCUAACUACGGGAAACUUUAGCUAAUACCGCGUACUAUAGGAUGAUCACAAGUGGGAUUAGGUCGUUGGGGGGGUAAUGGCCCACCAAGCCGACUAUCUCUAGCUGGUCUGAGAGGAUGACCAGCCACACCGGGACUGAGACACGGCCCGGACUCCUACGGGAGGCAGCAGUGGGGAAUAUUGCGCAAUGGGGGCAACCUGACGCAGCCAUGCCGCGUGAAUGAAGAAGGCCUUCGGGUUGUAAAGUUCUUUCGGUAGCGAGGCGUUAACUACAGAAGAAGCACCGGCUAACUCCGUGCCAGCAGCCGCGGUAAUUC